GAGAAUGCUGUGUCUAUGGGAUGGUGGAGAGCCUAACAUGACUGAAGUGGGCACUUCCUCUAGGAGAGAUUGAAAAUGAAUAUCACACAGAAGGUAAUGGAGAGGAUCACGGUGAUGUGAGCAGAAUAUAACAUAACGCCUGUA
RNAcentral lists this long non-coding RNA (144 nucleotides) under Monodelphis domestica (gray short-tailed opossum). RNAcentral's name for it is "lncRNA (ENSMODG00000049708.1)". Lineage: Eukaryota; Metazoa; Chordata; Mammalia; Didelphimorphia; Didelphidae. The record is from RNAcentral.